GACAACAAAAGAAUAACAUAAAAGUAGCAAAUAUUUUGAUCUCUCAUUAUAUAUAUAUAUAUAUAAGCUAUCUUGCCUCAAACACCUAAUUCAAUCUAUUGACCUAGGACAAGGACUCAAUCCUGAAUUCACUGUAAAAAGCUGAGCUUUCUCCAUUAAUUUAUAGUGAAGACUGGAUCUACAACAUAGAAGUGUACUGCAUUUCAAUUCUCAAGGAUUAGGGAUCGAUUCCAGAUCCCAUAUUUUUUCAAGAAGAGUUUAGGACUUAAUGAACCAAAUCUUAUUUUUUAUUUCAUAAUAGACCUCACUGAAGAUGUAGGUAGCUCUUGAUGAAUGAUGAAACAGUAGUAGUAUGGUACAAAAGCAACAUAAAACAAGAAAAGAAACUCUCAUCACAGGUAUAGUAGCUUUAUUGACAAAACAAUGAAAAUUGUCUUUAUUAUUCAAAUAUUCAGAGUUUAGAUGUUACUCAAAGCCAAUCCUGUUACUUAGCACAAGUUUGGCUCUAGUGUUGUCAUGCUGGAAUACACCAUCCUCUUAUGAGAUGAGGUUCACCAUUGCUAGAUGUAUAUGGUCUGCAAUGAUACUCAAGAUAGUCUCUGGCCUUCAUGGUAUGAAUGACAUCAAUUACAGACCAAGGAAAUCCCAGAUCAUUAUACUGCCACCUCAAGUUUGCUGAAUCUCAGUACAGUGGCUAGAGUCAAUAAAAAACUGUGCUGAUGUCACUAUAUUAUCUGUUCAUCAACUGUCUUUACUGGAAAAGAAAUUCAUUGGGCCAACACAUUUUUUUUCAUUUGUUAUGGAUCAAUGGAAAAAGUACUCAUCUACUUUUGCCAUUCUUGGCACUAUAUGAGUCACUGUUUUUGGUCAGUCGGGAAUAUUGAAUGGGAUGUCUGCUUUUAUAUCCCAAUGCAUUAUUCUAUUGGAGAUCAAUACUGAAUUCCCUUAAUUGUAGGUUACAGUUGCAACAAUAUAUCCUAUCUGACUGGACAAGCUAUGCUAUCCGCCUCCUACUCAGAUCCAACAUCUUUGCCAUUCUUGCUUGUUAUAUACCUGCAGCACAUCUGAAUGAGAAGAGUUCUAGCUGUUUUGGUUAUGGAGUAUCCACCCUCUAAGCAUCCACUAUCAUGUCUCUUUCCAAGUCUAUCAAGUCAUAUUUCUUGAAUAUGCUGUUUAUAUACAGUUUAAACGUUUAUUCAUCCUGAUUGUAGGCUGCAAAUAUACAAGGUUUGGAUUUACUCAAUAUGACCUAUCCCAAGCAUUUUUCAUAUUAUAUACAGGGUAGUAAAAUGUUCCUAUCUUUUUGAUACUAUGUCAGUGAUAUAACAAUGUCUGAU
Molecule: long non-coding RNA, 1337 nt
Filed under: Androctonus crassicauda
Lineage: Eukaryota; Metazoa; Arthropoda; Arachnida; Scorpiones; Buthidae
Source: RNAcentral